UACGUAGGGGGCGAGCGUUGUCCGGAUUUAUUGGGCGUAAAGAGCGUGUAGGCGGCCAGGUAGGUCUGCUGUGAAAACUCGAGGCUCAACCUCGAGACGUCGGCGGAAACCAUCUGGCUAGAGUCCGGAAGAGGAGAGUGGAAUUCCUGGUGUAGCGGUGAAAUGCGCAGAUAUCAGGAAGAACACCCGUGGCGAAGGCGGCUCUCUGGGACGGUACUGACGCUGAGACGCGAAAGCGUGGGAGCAACGGG
This 251-nucleotide ribosomal RNA is filed under the name uncultured bacterium. RNAcentral's name for it is "partial 16S ribosomal RNA". It matches the Rfam family "Bacterial small subunit ribosomal RNA", at positions 524 to 776 of the family's 1533-position model. The record is from RNAcentral.